ACCUCUUGCGCCGCAGUCAAUAUUGGCUGAAGGCAUUGUUUUAUUGUCACAGCCAGUAUUGAUGAACGGUGUAAAAGG
This is a non-coding RNA of Schistosoma rodhaini, 78 nucleotides long. The record is from Rfam. NCBI's taxonomy places the organism in Eukaryota, Metazoa, Platyhelminthes, Trematoda, Strigeidida, Schistosomatidae.